Molecule: ribosomal RNA, 280 nt
Filed under: uncultured bacterium
Lineage: Bacteria
Description: partial 16S ribosomal RNA
Rfam family: Bacterial small subunit ribosomal RNA
Source: RNAcentral
CUCCUACGGGAGGCAGCAGUGAGGAAUAUUGGUCAAUGGGCGCAAGCCUGAACCAGCCAUGCCGCGUGCAGGAUGACGGUCCUAUGGAUUGUAAACUGCUUUUGUACGGGAAGAAACACUCCUACGUGUAGGAGCUUGACGGUACCGUAAGAAUAAGGAUCGGCUAACUCCGUGCCAGCAGCCGCGGUAAUACGGAGGAUCCAAGCGUUAUCCGGAAUCAUUGGGUUUAAAGGGUCCGUAGGCGGUUUUAUAAGUCAGUGGUGAAAGCCCAUCGCUUAAC